UACGGGGGGGGCAAACGUUGUUCGGAAUUACUGGGCGUAAAGGGCUCGUAGGCGGCCAACUAAGUCAGACGUGAAAUCCCUAGGCUCAACCUAGGAACUGCGUCUGAUACUGGAUGGCUUGAAUCCGGGAGAGGGAUGCAGAAUUCCAGGUGUAGCGGUGAAAUGCGUAGAUAUCUGGAGGAAUACCGGUGGCGAAGGCGGCAUCCUGGACCGGCAUUGACGCUGAGGAGCGAAAGCCAGGGGAGCAAACGGG
This 253-nucleotide ribosomal RNA is filed under the name uncultured bacterium. RNAcentral's name for it is "partial 16S ribosomal RNA". It matches the Rfam family "Bacterial small subunit ribosomal RNA", at positions 524 to 776 of the family's 1533-position model. The record is from RNAcentral.